UACGUAGGGGGCUAGCGUUGUCCGGAAUCAUUGGGCGUAAAGAGCGUGUAGGCGGUCCGGUAAGUCCGCUGUGAAAGUCGGGGGCUCAACCCUCGAAUGCCGGUGGAUACUGUCGGGCUAGAGUGCGGAAGAGGCGAGUGGAAUUCCUGGUGUAGCGGUGAAAUGCGCAGAUAUCAGGAGGAACACCAAUGGCGAAGGCGGCUACCUGGACAAUUGCUGACGCUCAGGCACGAAAGCGUGGGGAGCAAAAGGG
This 253-nucleotide ribosomal RNA is filed under the name uncultured bacterium. Its description in RNAcentral is "partial 16S ribosomal RNA". It matches the Rfam family "Bacterial small subunit ribosomal RNA", at positions 524 to 776 of the family's 1533-position model. The record is from RNAcentral.